This 487-nucleotide ribosomal RNA is filed under the name uncultured bacterium. RNAcentral describes it as "partial 16S ribosomal RNA". It matches the Rfam family "Bacterial small subunit ribosomal RNA", at positions 28 to 523 of the family's 1533-position model. The record is from RNAcentral.
GACGAACGCUGGCGGCGUGCUUAACACAUGCAAGUCGAACGGAAAGGCUCCAGCUUGCUGGAGUACUCGAGUGGCGAACGGGUGAGCAACACGUGGGUGAUCUGUCCUGCACUUCGGGAUAAGCCUGGGAAACUGGGUCUAAUACCGGAUAGUACUGUUCUUUAGUGUGAAUAGUGGAAAGUUUUUUCGGUGCAGGAUGUGCCCGCGGCCUAUCAGCUUGUUGGUGGGGUAAUGGCCUACCAAGGCGACGACGGGUAGCCGGCCUGAGGGGGUGUACCGGCACAUUGGGGACGAGAAACGGCCCAGCCUACGACGGGAGGGAGCAGUGUGGAAUAUUGCACAAGGGGCGCAAGCCUGAUGCCGCGCCGCCGCGUGAGGGAUGACGGCCUUCGGGUUGUAAACCUCUUUCGCUAGGGAAGAAGCCACUUUGUGGUGACGGUACCUGGAUAAGAAGCACCGGCUAACUACGUGCCAGCCGCCGCAGUAA